GGGAACGUACCCGUGUUUAUUGUUAUAGCCCAGAACUUCCUUUUCCUGUCCCAUCUAAAUCACAGGUAUCUACUGUCAGAGUGGCUGUGCAGGACUAACUUCCUCAUGUCCAUGAUGAGUUAAAAAGAAAUGUGGCGCACUAGGACCCUUGAGCCUUGCCUGAAAGUGAAAUAUAGCAGUUCAACAUGGGUGCCAACAUCUAACCAGCCCUCAGAUGGAUUUACCAUGAAGGAGAAGCACGACCAUGGCAACCCAGGAUUACACAGUGCUCUACAAUUUGCAAAGGCCCUUUGAAGACCAUUUUCAACAGGCUCCAUGAGGAGACAGAAACCAAAGGAAACCACCACCCGUUCGGAGAUGGAAGCAGCAGAUCUCAGUUGCUAAGCGCCCCAUCCCUGGGCUUGAGGCCUUCAGAGGCCCACCCCCAGGCCCAGGCUGGCCUCAGGACGGGCUCCCAGUGCUACUUCAGGCACCCUCGGAUGGGACCUCAGGUUAACGCUAGCAGAUGGUGGGAACCCAUCUGAGAGAUGAAGAACCUGAGGUCCAGAUGGGCUCUUGAGCAAGUGUUCUUUCCAGGCCGCCCUUCUCUUUCCUUCCUGCGUGUCCAGCCACCAAUGCAAACAGCCAGCCUGGCCUCUGACAUC
Long non-coding RNA from Lagenorhynchus albirostris (white-beaked dolphin), 644 nucleotides. RefSeq lists it as uncharacterized. The record is from RefSeq and is a predicted model, not a curated record. The transcript has 3 exons. Lineage: Eukaryota; Metazoa; Chordata; Mammalia; Artiodactyla; Delphinidae.